UGACGCGCAUGAAUGGAUUAA
RNAcentral lists this non-coding RNA (21 nucleotides) under Arabidopsis thaliana (thale cress). The record is from RNAcentral. Lineage: Eukaryota; Viridiplantae; Streptophyta; Magnoliopsida; Brassicales; Brassicaceae. RNAcentral also lists the same sequence under 1 other name.